UAUACAACUUUCAGCAACGGGAUCUCUUGGCUCUCGCAUCGAUGAANAACGCAACGAAAUGCGAUAAGUAAUGUGAAUUGCAGAAUUCAGUGAAUCAUCAUCCAAAUCUUUGGAACGCACCUUGCGCUCCUUGGGUAUUCCCGAAGANCAUGCCUGUUUGAAUUGUCAUUAAAUUCUCAACCCCAACCCUCUUAUUGUGGAAUGUUCCGUGGGCUUGGAUUGUGGA
RNAcentral lists this ribosomal RNA (226 nucleotides) under Lepiota fuscovinacea. Its description in RNAcentral is "5.8S ribosomal RNA". The stretch from base 6 to 168 matches the Rfam family "5.8S ribosomal RNA". From Rfam's summary of the family: 5.8S ribosomal RNA (5.8S rRNA) is a component of the large subunit of the eukaryotic ribosome. It is transcribed by RNA polymerase I as part of the 45S precursor that also contains 18S and 28S rRNA. Lineage: Eukaryota; Fungi; Basidiomycota; Agaricomycetes; Agaricales; Agaricaceae. The record is from RNAcentral.